CGCGGCCCGGAGUCCCCAUUUUCCAAGUAGGUUCUGAUUUCCCGAGAGAUGGCAAAGGCCCUGGCAGGAAGUUUACACGGCCCAACGUAAACACGUUCUGGGGGAUUCUUUAAUAAUAAUAAUAGAGAAUUCCGCGUGCGCGGGGGGAGUUGGCCUAAUGCCCCUGUGGGCUCGGCCUGCCGCCGCCGCGGGGCCUCCGACUGCGCACCCGGCCAGGUUCCGGAGAGCGGGCAGGGAGCGCGGGCCGAGGCUGCCCUCGCGCCCCUGGCUGCCGGCCUAAGGGGCUCGCUCGCACGCACGCCUCCGCUCGUCACCCUCGCCUUGCCGGCGUGCGGACAGGGCCUGCGGCGGUGGGAAAUCUGGGAAAUCGGAGCGCAGCGCAGGACCGCGCGGGAGGCCGGCGGGACGCAGCGCGCACAGACCCCGACACCGGGGUGACCGUGGUGACCGAGCCACUCUGCCCAGAGCGGGGCCAUCCCUGCACACAGACCUGACAUCGUGCAGAAGCCGGAGGGGCUGCUGACCCUCGCCACUAACUGCUCUUCUCAGAAGUGUGUUUCUUGAACUAAUUUCAGUUUCUAAGGAGGAAUUUUAGGGCAGGAAAAAAUGGAGUGGAAAGUACAGAGCUCCUUCCCCGGAUUUCCAUCUUAGAGUUACAAUGGAGCCACAUGGACGCGUUGUUAUUGACUCUAGUCCUGGACCCCUCCCGCUUCCUGUUGGACCUGAGGGGCCGAUGUAUCAGGACAUGUACCCUCCCCAACCAGCCAGAGCAGCUAGAAAUGGAAGCUCUUAAACCGGUAGUUCUGUAAACAAAUGCUUUUUACACAGACCCCAAGCCCAGAUGUAUUGGCUCAGGAUGCAAACAGUGCCCCCUCCUUACCGGUGCCUUGGAUUCUUAGGGUCCUUUUCCUGCCCUGCCCCGACCCAUGUUCCACCCACCACCCCUUCUUGCCUGACCAAUGGCCACUCGUCUUGGCCCAGUUUUGCUUUUAUCCCCUCCCUGCCCAGUGGCUGGAGUCCCUACUGCUCGUGCCCGGGCUCCUUUCACUGAGGGAUACAUUUUUCUUCAGGUCUUUACCUGACUUGGGAGCUCAGUUCUUUUUAGUGCUAAAUAAUAUUCCAAGGUCCCAUCGAGGCCAGUUUAUUUUCUUCCCGUUCACCUACCAGGGGACACCUCGCUGGCCUUCAGUUUUGGCAGUCAUGAAUAAAGCUGCUUUGAGCUUCCACGUGUAGCUUUUCCUUUGUCUAGACCUAAGCUUUCAACUCAUUUGGUUAAAUACCAAGGAGCGUGAUUGUGGGGUCCCAGGGAAGAGUAUGUCUGGCUUUGUCAGGAGCUGCAGCGAAGGAGAGCUUCUGUUUUUCCACACCCUCUCCGGCUGGUGGGGUGUGAGUGUUUUGGUGUUUAGCUCUUCGGUAGGUGUGCUGUGGUGUCUCGCUGUCGUAAGCUGUGUGUGUGUGUGUGUGUGUGUGUGUGUGUGCGCGCGCGCAGUUUGCGGGUUGAACACACAGGCCCUCCACCACUGAACUACACCCCAGCCCUUUUUAUUGUUUUAUUUGGAGAUAAGGUUUCACUAAAGCACUCAAUUGCCCAGGCUGGGCUCAAACUUGCAGUCCUCCUGCUUCAGCCUCCCAAAUAGCUGGGAUUACACAUGUGCACCACCAUGCCUGGAUAAUAAACUCUUGUGACCCAGAA
RNAcentral lists this long non-coding RNA (1693 nucleotides) under Heterocephalus glaber (naked mole-rat). Its description in RNAcentral is "lncRNA (ENSHGLG00100036592.1)". Lineage: Eukaryota; Metazoa; Chordata; Mammalia; Rodentia; Bathyergidae. The record is from RNAcentral.